This is a long non-coding RNA of Sapajus apella (tufted capuchin), 180 nucleotides long. RefSeq lists it as uncharacterized. Lineage: Eukaryota; Metazoa; Chordata; Mammalia; Primates; Cebidae. The record is from RefSeq and is a predicted model, not a curated record. The transcript is spliced from 3 exons.
UUCAUUUUAUUUUUUACCCAUUCAUCAUUCGGGAGCAGGUGGUUCAGUUUCCACGUAGUUGUGUGGCUUUGAGUGAGUUUCUUAAUCUUGAGUUCUAGUUUAAUUGCAUUGUGAUCUGAGAGACUGUUUGUUAUGAUUUCUGUUAUUUUGCAUUUGCUGAGGUAUGUUUUACUUCCAAUC